GUUUGUUACAAAAGUAAUCAAUUUGAGAUCCUUUGAGAUAUUUAAUAGGGAUGUUUGCUAAUUGGUUAUUUUUAUUGAUAAAACUAGUAGCAACACAUUCUAACUUAAUCUUUUGCCCUGUAAAGUGACGAUCCACCUUUAUAUGUUUUGUUCUCGUGAAAACUGGAUUUGAGGUAAUAUGUAGUGUUACUUGAUUAUCAUAAAUCAAUUUCAUUUGUUUGACAUCUCCACAUUUUAACUCUUGAAGAAGAUGUUUUAAUUAGAUAAGAUCAUAACUUGGUAA
This 283-nucleotide unclassified non-coding RNA is filed under the name Hevea brasiliensis (rubber tree). The record is from RNAcentral. Lineage: Eukaryota; Viridiplantae; Streptophyta; Magnoliopsida; Malpighiales; Euphorbiaceae.